This 426-nucleotide ribosomal RNA is filed under the name uncultured bacterium. Its description in RNAcentral is "bacterial SSU rRNA". It matches the Rfam family "Bacterial small subunit ribosomal RNA", at positions 38 to 465 of the family's 1533-position model. The record is from RNAcentral.
GGCGGCAGGCCUAACACAUGCAAGUCGAGCGGAUGAAGGGAGCUUGCUCCCGGAUUCAGCGGCGGACGGGUGAGUAAUGCCUAGGAAUCUGCCUGGUAGUGGGGGAUAACGUCCGGAAACGGGCGCUAAUACCGCAUACGUCCUGAGGGAGAAAGUGGGGGAUCUUCGGACCUCACGCUAUCAGAUGAGCCUAGGUCGGAUUAGCUAGUUGGUGGGGUAAAGGCCUACCAAGGCGACGAUCCGUAACUGGUCUGAGAGGAUGAUCAGUCACACUGGAACUGAGACACGGUCCAGACUCCUACGGGAGGCAGCAGUGGGGAAUAUUGGACAAUGGGCGAAAGCCUGAUCCAGCCAUGCCGCGUGUGUGAAGAAGGUCUUCGGAUUGUAAAGCACUUUAAGUUGGGAGGAAGGGCAGUAAGUUAAUAC